GAUGAACGCUGGCGGCGUGCCUAAUACAUGCAAGUCGAGCGAACAGACGAGGAGCUUGCUCCUCUGACGUUAGCGGCGGACGGGUGAGUAACACGUGGAUAACCUACCUAUAAGACUGGGAUAACUUCGGGAAACCGGAGCUAAUACCGGAUAAUAUAUUGAACCGCAUGGUUCAAUAGUUAAAGACGGUUUUGCUGUCACUUAUAGAUGGAUCCGCGCCGCAUUAGCUAGUUGGUAAGGUAACGGCUUACCAAGGCAACGAUGCGUAGCCGACCUGAGAGGGUGAUCGGCCACACUGGAACUGAGACACGGUCCAGACUCCUACGGGAGGCAGCAGUAGGGAAUCUUCCGCAAUGGGAGAAAGCCUGACGGAGCAACGCCGCGUGAGUGAUGAAGGUCUUCGGAUCGUAAAACUCUGUUAUUAGGGAAGAACAAAUGUGUAAGUAACUAUGCACGUCUUGACGGUACCUAAUCAGAAAGCCACAGCUAACUACGUG
This 497-nucleotide ribosomal RNA is filed under the name uncultured bacterium. Its description in RNAcentral is "partial 16S ribosomal RNA". It matches the Rfam family "Bacterial small subunit ribosomal RNA", at positions 28 to 507 of the family's 1533-position model. The record is from RNAcentral.